UACGUAGGGUGCAGGCGUUAAUCGGAAUUACUGGGCGUAAAGCGUGCGCAGGCGGUCUAUUAAGACAGGUGUGAAAUCCCCGGGCUUAACUCGGAACGGUCAAGUGAUACUGUCGUGCUAGAGUACAGAAGGGGCAACUGGAAUUCUCGGUGUAGCGGUGGAAUGCGCAGAUAUCAGGAAGAACACCAACGGCGAAGGCAGCUCGCUGGGACGGUACUGACGCUGAGACGCGAAAGCGUGGGGAGCGAACAGG
Molecule: ribosomal RNA, 253 nt
Filed under: uncultured bacterium
Lineage: Bacteria
Description: partial 16S ribosomal RNA
Rfam family: Bacterial small subunit ribosomal RNA
Source: RNAcentral